RNA transcript from Oxyura jamaicensis (ruddy duck), 3823 nucleotides. It is a transcript of the gene named cell division cycle 25C, with no coding region annotated. The transcript has 2 exons. The record is from RefSeq and is a predicted model, not a curated record. NCBI's taxonomy places the organism in Eukaryota, Metazoa, Chordata, Aves, Anseriformes, Anatidae.
ACAUAGCGAGCUGUUCACAAAUACCUGUCACCAGAAAGGGUAAUAAGCAAGACGAGAGUGAUUUCAACCAAUCGCAAGCUAUGUGCUUGACACCUUUACAGGUCUUUUGGGAGAGGGGUGGGAAAAGCUGCUCUGGGCACGAAUGUUAAGCCACGCGAAACUCUAAGGAGGGAGUCUCACAAGAACUGCUGUCCUAAGCUGGUACUACUCUUUCCUCAGGUGGCUGCUCUGCUCUCUGGGCAAUUUCAAAGCCUGAUUGACAAGUUCUACGUCCUUGACUGCCACUAUCCCUGUGAGUAUAAGGGGAUAUAUCAAGAUGAGGGAGCUGGGUAAGGUGGUGGUUGAGGGGCUGAGGAGGCAAAAGGGUUGUGGAUGAAGACACUUAAAGAUGAAGCAAAAUUAUGGGAGGUAGAGCGAUUGGGGUAUUAGAUGAUUUUGUAAGAGCAGGCUGUUGAACAAGGCAGUGCUUCUGUGGACUAAUGUCUGUCUUCCCCAGAGAAUAUACCAUCAGAAUACUCUGGCACAGUAUAGCUUUCUAGCCAGUUUCUCUGUGUUACAGAAUGGUAUAAAAAAGGUGGCAAACGUGGACUGCUAAUUUCACAGAGAAUUCUACAGUGUCUAGCAAUUUGUGGCAUCUGUGUGUAUAAUAGUCCUUGGUAGGACUUUCUCCCAUAAAUGUUUCCGUCUUAUUUUUUUCAAAUCUGUGUGAUUUUCUAGCUUUCAUACUUCCCCAUAACAGAGUUCUGAAGCUUUGCCUUAUCCUAUGUGAGCUGAACCUUACACUGUUUUUUCUUUUGGUUUCUACAGUGUCUAUACAGAGCCUGUAGUUUUCCAUUUCAAGGCACUCAGGGGUUUAUAGACUUAUGUCAGAUCCUUCUUAGUAAUUUCUUGACUGAAGAACCUCUGUGUAUUCACCUCUUCCAUGCUGGGAAACUAUUUUGUACUUUGAUCACCCCUGCCUUGUACCUCUUCCAUCUCUGUAACAUUCUUUUGAGUUAGAGGACCCAGAAGGACUUAAUAUAGUUGCAUUAUGAUCUUCUCUGUUUUGUUGUUUGUUCUUAAUAUUUGAUUAGGUUUUAGUUUGGGUUUUGCCAUUACUGAGUUCAUGAGAACAGAUAUAAUAGGCAGUUCUGUGAAACUCUGAAGACCUUCCUCCCAAAUAGUCUGUGUGAUCACUGUUUAUGUAAAGUUAGCAUUGCUUUCUCCCCAUCUCCCUGUAUAAGCUAACAUAAAUAAAGAUACUCAUGGAGUGCUGGACUCCUAGUUGUUUCAGCCACUAGACUAUGGUCCCUGUCUCCCCUGUAAGUGCUGGCAUGGAUAAACAAUGAUUCUGGCCACACUGAGAACAUGCUGGCUUCCAUGAUACACUAUCUAGUUUUGUCUGCCCAGCAUCCCACAGUAAUAACCACUUGACAUAAUGCAUUUUCCUUCUGUUCACCAGGAACUCUGAACCCCAGAUCUAUUGUCCAAUGCAACACCAGGACUUCAAAGCAGUUGCUGAAAUGCCACACCACAAGCAAGUCAUAGACUUUGUAGUGAAGGAAACGGGACCAGAUCACUCGCCUCAUGAAACUGUGAGCACCAAAGCAGUAGCUGGAGUGGAAGCUUCUUAAGAGAGUUCUACCUUCCAGAGCAAAGUUUUCUUCCCUGAAGACAGCUAGACUGUGAUGGUGAAAGAAAGAGAACCUUCCUUGUUCUACUGACAGGGCUAGGACAAAUUAGGAAGUCUGUUUAAAAAAUCUCAGUGCUGCCCCUGUGGGACACUGGCUGAGCAUAAAGCCUCAAAUAAAACAGUACCAUAGCUGCUUAGGGAAAAGAACAAGUUUUCUUCAAUAAAGACUAAGCCAGCUUUCAGGUUGUCUUGUCUGAAGCCUGCAAGGUAGUGUAUGUCAUCAGCUGAGCUCAGCUCUCCUGCUUCAGACAGGACUUCCCAUGUUUCUUUUUAAGACUAAACACUGCUGUGGAUUUUGUUGUUAGUUGUCACUUCUCACUGGUAAAAUAAGGAACUGGAGCAGACUGAAGUGUAUGAGAACUGGACCUUCUUUCCUGUGGCAAUUGAAAAAGCUAGGCAUGCAGGUGCUGAUGGAUAUCUGAAAUGAUUUCUAAGCCCAUCAGUAGCCAGGAUCAGGUAUGCCCAGCAAAUAAGUCUCCAACACCUGCUUCUAUAAGGAUCAACAGUGAGAACUGGAAAAAUAUUAAUUUCUCUACCAUGUCUGUUAAGCCCUUAUUGAUAUGGUCUUCCCAACCUGUGGCUAUUAAACCACAAAAACAUUUUUUUGAGUACUACCUCAGUGUAAUUGGAUUGUUGACAUCUCUGUUUAGAUUCUUUGUGGUGGGGAUGACAAGUCUGAAACGGUUAUCUUUACGUAUAUUUAAAUAGCACCAGCCAGUAGAUGAGGUUAGUAAAAGCAGCUUUCUGUAAGGGAAGUCUUCAAAUUCUAUUUUUGGGAUGUUUUUCCAGCCUCCUGUGCUGCAGCUGAGAGUGGCUGUUUUCAGAGACAGACAAGGACUAGGUGGAAUUCUAUCCUGUGUCUUUCUGCCACUCCAAAAGUUUGGCAUGGUCUCUGAGACUGUAUCUAAUAAGAAAGAUCAGACUAAGCUUUCUUACCCCUCAAAUUAGAAAAUUACCAAGAUAAAGAAAUACUGAUGUUAACUGUAUCAUACACAAUGAGCUUGUAUGUUCUGUUUUACAGCUAAUGUGUUGCCAUAGAGCUCUUGACAAAUAAAAUAAAUAAAUAAAUAAAUAUGUGUGGUAAUAGUAGACAGGGUGGGGGAGGGAAUAUUGCUUUUUCAAAUUCUGUUAGAAUCACAGAAUCAUCUAGGUUGGAAGAGACCUCCAAGAUCCUCUAGUCCAACCUCUGACCUAACACUAACAAGUCCUCCACUAAAGCACAGUUAGGAGCCAGAAUAAAACAAAUUGUAAUCUACCAGUCACGUAUGUUUUAACUUUCUUCUGCCAUAAGGAGUAAUAUUUCUGAGGGCUGUAAUUCUCAGAAGAUGGGUCCAUAUUAAUUUAUCAGCUCUUAACAGAUUUAUUUUAUUUUUGAGCUCAUAUCUAGUAAAACCUAUCUGAGAGGAACAGAGUCUGAAGAUCAUGUACACUAGGAAGAGAGAAACAACAAUUAACACAGAACUGUCACUAGCAGUAUUUUCUACACAGCACUCUGAGCACACUUGUUUAUAAGGGCUGAGGUGACUGAUAGCUGGCUUUCCCCUGCUGCUGUCCAGGGCUUCUGGACACCCUGUGGGGAAAAGACCCACCAGGUGGCACUCCUGCAGCACUACCUGGGGACCAUGGUCAAAAUUCGGUGCAGACAACUGCUUUUCCAGCGCAUCUCACUCCUAGAAGAAAGGAAUUAAGACAGUUUUUUCCUGAGAGAUGUCACAAACAGGAACUGCAAAGUAUAGUAGAAUAUCUAGUGUUCCUGAGCCUUCUUAGGGCUGCAUGAUGGGAUUUUUUCCCCAGGGUGUUAGGUGUGAUAUAGACUCCAGUACAGGAACUCAUGUAUAUGUAUGUUCAUCAAGCAAGCAGAGAUGGUUCUGUACUCCUUUGUGUUACACCCCAACCAUGUGACCAGCCAGUGAACAGGGUCCUGGGGAUCUAGCUAGAACAUCUUUUUUUUUUUUUUCAUCUUCCAUUUUUCAUUUACAAUUAUUAUUUACAAAUUAUCUAGAUCACUGGGGUAAAAGAGGUGCAUGAGCAUACCCAUGAUGGUGCCUCAGCUAUUGGCACAGCUUCCCUUCCGAAUGGGUUAGUUAAAAAAAUGUCUAUAAUGCUACUAAAUGUUAAAUAAGUAAAUAAUAAAACUGGACAGCUUUACCC